Pezoporus flaviventris is the source of this 607-nucleotide long non-coding RNA. RefSeq lists it as uncharacterized. NCBI's taxonomy places the organism in Eukaryota, Metazoa, Chordata, Aves, Psittaciformes, Psittacidae. The transcript is spliced from 4 exons. The record is from RefSeq and is a predicted model, not a curated record.
CUGCAAUUUGUUUUCCAGACCAGGGAAUAGCUGCCAGCAGGAGCUGCUCACACAGAAAGACAGUAGUUGUUUACCUGCACUGCAGAGCCAGACCAGGGAGGACAGAACCUGAUCCUGCCCAGCUGUGACAACUGUUUAUCAGCUGCCAAGAGAGAUCCUGUGAAUCUCACUGCAAAAGACAUAUAUCCCUCUUCAGAUAUAAGAUGAUUUCAUACUUACUGUAAACUUUGGGGUUUCCCUAACUAUCAACAAGAUGGUCGGAAAGAGAGGAAGGAUUCCUAUUGGCAGUCUCAUUUGUGAAAGCUGUAAUAUAAGGAUCUGGAUCACACCCAGUAAGAGAACUAAAACCAGUACUAUGUCAAGACAGUGUAACAACCAGGGGAUUGUAGAUGCCAAGCACAAAUCUGAGGAGACCUGAUUCCAAUACAUUGAGUUUGGGCCCAAGUCAAACACCGAUGAUUGCUAUGAGAUGGCCAUGCAGGAAAGCCUGAGGUAACUCCUGACUUGGGUGAGCACACCAAAAUGGAAGCUAUGUACAUCUUAAAGGUGGUGUUUUCAUCCAGUGCAUAUUGGAGUAGGUAGGUACAGUUAAGGUUUCCCACCUACU